ACGGAAGGCAGCAGUGGGGGAUAUUGCACAAUGGAGGAAACUCUGAUGCAGCAACGCCGCGUGAGGGAAGAAGGUCUUCGGAUUGUAAACCUCUGGUUUUGGUGAAGAAUUUUGACGGUAGCCAAAGAGGAAGCCACGGCUAACUACGUGCCAGCAGCCGCGGUAAUACGUAGGUGGCAAGCGUUGUCCGGAUUUACUGGGUGUAAAGGGUGCGCAGGCGGGACUGCAAGUUGGAUGUGAAAUACCGAGGCUUAACCUCGGGGCUGCAUCCAAAACUGUGGUUCUUGAGUGGAGUAGAGGUAAGCGGAAUUCCGAGUGUAGCGGUGAAAUGCGUAGAUGUUCGGAGGAACACCAGUGGCGAAGGCGGCUUACUGGGCUCUAACUGACGCUGAGGCACGAAAGUGUGGGUAGCAAACAGGAUUAGAUACCCUGGUA
This 435-nucleotide ribosomal RNA is filed under the name uncultured Ethanoligenens sp. RNAcentral describes it as "partial 16S ribosomal RNA". It matches the Rfam family "Bacterial small subunit ribosomal RNA", at positions 341 to 792 of the family's 1533-position model. Lineage: Bacteria; Bacillati; Bacillota; Clostridia; Eubacteriales; Oscillospiraceae. The record is from RNAcentral.